RNAcentral lists this non-coding RNA (206 nucleotides) under Cloacibacterium normanense. Lineage: Bacteria; Pseudomonadati; Bacteroidota; Flavobacteriia; Flavobacteriales; Weeksellaceae. The record is from RNAcentral.
UACAUUUGCAAUGCUUUUGGUUUCCGAUGUUUGUCGGAAUUAAAAUGGGAAUUCGGUGAAAAUCCGAAACUGUCCCCGCAACUGUAAAUCGUGCUUCGAUGAAAACCGAAGGAAUUUUUUGCAAAAAAGCCAUUAUCUUAUUUGAAAAGAUGAGAAGGUGCAAAAAAUGCGAAAGUCAGGAGACCUGCCAAAAACAUUCAUAAUCA